This 255-nucleotide ribosomal RNA is filed under the name uncultured bacterium. RNAcentral's name for it is "partial 16S ribosomal RNA". It matches the Rfam family "Bacterial small subunit ribosomal RNA", at positions 524 to 776 of the family's 1533-position model. The record is from RNAcentral.
UACGAAGGGGGCGAGCGUUGUUCGGAUUUACUGGGCGUAAAGGGCGCGCAGGCGGUCUUGAAAGUCAGGCGUGAAAGCCCCGGGCUUAACCUGGGAAUUGCGCUUGAUACUCUGAGACUGGAGUACGGGAGAGGAGAGUGGAAUUCCCAGUGUAGAGGUGAAAUUCGUAGAUAGUUGGGAAGAACACCAGUGGCGAAGGCGGCUCUCUGGACCGUAACUGACGCUGAGGCGCGAAAAGCGUGGGGAGCAAACAGG